UGUCCAGUAGCACCUUAGAGACCAACUAAGUGUGUUCUGGGUAUAAGCUUUCAUGUGCAUGCACACUUCUUCAGAUACAAGUGUGCAUGCACACGAAAGCUUCUACCCAGAACAAACUUAGUUGGUCUCUAAGGUGCUACUGGACA
Molecule: microRNA precursor, 146 nt
Filed under: Podarcis lilfordi (Lilford's wall lizard)
Lineage: Eukaryota; Metazoa; Chordata; Lepidosauria; Squamata; Lacertidae
Source: RNAcentral